Molecule: ribosomal RNA, 315 nt
Filed under: Salmonella enterica subsp. enterica serovar Typhimurium
Lineage: Bacteria; Pseudomonadati; Pseudomonadota; Gammaproteobacteria; Enterobacterales; Enterobacteriaceae
Description: bacterial LSU rRNA
Rfam family: Bacterial large subunit ribosomal RNA
Source: RNAcentral
AGAAUGUGUAUAAGAGACAGAUGCUGGAGGUAUCAGAAGUGCGAAUGCUGACAUAAGUAACGAUAAAGCGGGUGAAAAGCCCGCUCGCCGGAAGACCAAGGGUUCCUGUCCAACGUUAAUCGGGGCAGGGUGAGUCGACCCCUAAGGCGAGGCCGAAAGGCGUAGUCGAUGGGAAACGGGUUAAUAUUCCCGUACUUGGUGUUACUGCGAAGGGGGGACGGAGAAGGCUAUGUUGGCCGGGCGACGGUUGUCCCGGUUUAAGCGUGUAGGUGUGUGUUCCAGGUAAAUCCGGUUCACUUUAACACUGAGGCGUGA